UUCAUCUAUUUCGUUCAUUCUAUCCGUUUUAUAUUUAGAAAACAGUCGAAGCCCUCAUGAAAUUCCAACUUUUUGAAGACAGAUCACAGACGCACAGAAAAUGAAAAAUGAAACGAAGGCAAGCGCCAAGAAUUAAAAAAAAAUACGUUAAUAAUUCUUCUAUAGACAUUGAUGUGAUCGUGUGCAUAUGGCACAACAUUCAGUUGUUUAAGAUUACUCAAAGCGUCAACACAACACUGUUGGUUUUUGGAUAUUCUCCAUCGGAAGAACAUUUUGCUCCAAGAUAUCAAGAAUUCCUCCCUCAUUUCUGUGUUAGCCUAAAACGAUCAAAUCAUUAGCAAUUCAUUGCUGCAACGCUCUUUAUUUAGCAAUUGCUUGAGGCUGCGAUGAAGUUACGUCUAAUGCUGCUCAUUGUGCUGUUCGAGUUGCUAAUGACGCAUCAUGUCCAUUUAACUCAAGCCGGGCCCAUACUAGGACUACAAACAGAAUUCGAUGACAACUCCAAGGUACAGGGCAGAACCAAACCUAUAUUGGUGUACUGCGAUGAAAUUGGAAACCACUUGAACUGUAUGCUUUUCUGCAAAAAUUUGGGCCACACAUCUGGACAUUGUGGCGGUGAUUUCACUUGUAAUUGUUUUUAAAUGUUUGAUAAUUUUAAAUAGAAUAAGGUAAACUAGAUAUAAUACUAUUUUAAACGACAGUAUCCAUAAUUCUUAUUAACUAAAUGAAAUUAAUCAUUCAAAUCAUCAAAAAAUAAACAAAAAGUGAUUUCUAAUUUAAAGAAGGCCAAACAGAAAACAAAAACAAAAAAGAAAAAAAAUUUUAAAGCUAAUCUUAAACCAUGUGAGCGUAAUUGACAAUAUGAUAUUUAAACAAAAAUCAAUUUAUGUUUCCAUGGAUAUGUUUCUGAUCCCGUACAAUUAUAAAGCAAAACGAAAGAUUUUUUUGUGCUUGUAAACCUUGCCAUAUUUUUAUUAAAAUGCGUACUUUAAUCAAA
Long non-coding RNA from Stomoxys calcitrans (stable fly), 997 nucleotides. RefSeq lists it as uncharacterized. The record is from RefSeq and is a predicted model, not a curated record. Lineage: Eukaryota; Metazoa; Arthropoda; Insecta; Diptera; Muscidae. The transcript has 2 exons.